This 253-nucleotide ribosomal RNA is filed under the name uncultured bacterium. RNAcentral describes it as "partial 16S ribosomal RNA". It matches the Rfam family "Bacterial small subunit ribosomal RNA", at positions 524 to 776 of the family's 1533-position model. The record is from RNAcentral.
UACAGAGCCUGCAAGCGUUAUUCGGAUUCACUGGGCGUAAAGGGUGCGCAGGCGGCCAAGUGGGUGAGGCGUGAAAGCCUGGAGCUUAACUCCAGAAUUGCACCUCAAACUACUUGGCUAGAGCAUUGGAGAGGGUAGCAGAAUUCAUGGUGUAGCAGUGAAAUGCGUAGAUAUCAUGAGGAAGACCAGAGGCGAAGGCGGCUACCUGGACAAUUGCUGACGCUCAGGCACGAAAGCGUGGGGAGCAAAAGGG